This 21-nucleotide small nuclear RNA is filed under the name Arabidopsis thaliana (thale cress). Its description in RNAcentral is "snRNA_08326". The record is from RNAcentral. Lineage: Eukaryota; Viridiplantae; Streptophyta; Magnoliopsida; Brassicales; Brassicaceae.
AUAUAUGUUGUCGCUGGUUGU